Papaver somniferum (opium poppy) is the source of this 1397-nucleotide long non-coding RNA. RefSeq lists it as uncharacterized. The transcript has 5 exons. NCBI's taxonomy places the organism in Eukaryota, Viridiplantae, Streptophyta, Magnoliopsida, Ranunculales, Papaveraceae. The record is from RefSeq and is a predicted model, not a curated record.
UCUUGCCUCUUUUCUCUGAUGAAAUCUAUUUCUUUUUCGUACCGAAACUUUUACUUCACUUAUGCGAACGACUUCAACUCUCUCUUCCUGCAGGAGAACCUUGAGAAAGUUGCAGUUGAUGAUGUGUUGAGAAAAGAUGUAGGGUUUCCACUUGAUGUGUGAGAAAUGAAACACGAAAAAGUUUGAUGGAGAAGUUAUCAGAGAAUUUUCCUUCCCUACUGACAGUUGGUUUGACCUCAAAUGGAAGUUGGAUUUUUAAUGAGAUUGUUUGAAAGAGAGUUAGCUUCAAAAAAUACAAGGCAUGUCUUUGGGUAUAAGGGCAUUCAUAUCUAUCUAAUGGAUUCUGAUAAUUCCCAUCUCAGUUGCAUUUACUAGACAAUGUUGCUUGAUCUUGAUCACUUAUUGGUGUUUGGCAUCAGAUAUUAAGCUUUUGAAGAAUUUUCUAUCCUCUUUUCAAGUGGUAAUUCGAAUGGUGGAAUGGAAGUGGUGGAAUACCUCAAAGCACCCCGGGAAGUUUGCACGCCUUGGAGGAAAGCUGCUCAAGGGAUUUUAAUGAUUUACAUCUAAAACUGCUCAUCGAAUUGAUACUUUUAUUCAUAGGAUGGAUUUCCAAGACUUUAGUUUGAAUGACAAGAGGUGGAUAGACUGCCAAGAGACAAUGAUGCUUUCACUACAUGAGACCAAAAGUUCAUAGACUUUGCGAGUCGGGAUUUUGAACCAAGGCAGAAAAUUGUGUCCUUGUAAGGAUUGCAAUAACAAUAACAGAUAUCUUGUGUCUGAAGUGCACGGACAUAUUAUGUGGAAUGGGUUUAUGCCGGCAUAUGUCUAUUGGAUAUACCAUGAAGAAGGGGAGGACCAGGUGAGGGAAACUUCCGAUACUUGAAAUGUGGUGCAGGACGACCAUGACGACGAAACGUUUGAUUUGCUGCAAGAAAUGAACUAUGAUGCCUCCAAUUUUUACUUGCUGUUAGGACUUCUUCUCGUUGCAAAAGUUGAGUUACGAAACUGCAGUUGAGUUACGAAACUAUUCCGACAUCCGGUACUUCCCAUUUGGGAACACAGUACAGUUCAAACUUUUAAUCUUUGUGAACUUUUAAGUCUUUCAUGAUUCCUAUUUUUAAUCUUUUGUAAACUUUUAAGAGUGUUUCAAGGCACUCGUUUUCUUGAACCAUUUCCAUGAACCAUAAUUUAACCGGAGUGCUGUAAGGAUCUAAGUGGCACAUUUCACUGUGAAGUCUUUUGUACAUACUGUCGGCUGGUUAAGGAAUCUCGAAAGGGAAGAGUAGUAGUCGAAAUUCCUCAACUGAAAACAACAUUUUCUUUUUUUCAAAACGACUGAUCAAGAAUUUGAUAGCAAAUCAAAGUGUUAAAAUUUCGCAAAUUCUUAUUAAAUUAAU